This 253-nucleotide ribosomal RNA is filed under the name uncultured bacterium. RNAcentral describes it as "partial 16S ribosomal RNA". It matches the Rfam family "Bacterial small subunit ribosomal RNA", at positions 524 to 776 of the family's 1533-position model. The record is from RNAcentral.
UACGUAGGGCGCAAGCGUUAUCCGGAAUUACUGGGCGUAAAGCGCACGUAGGCGGCUAUUCAAGUCGGGGGUGAAAGCCCGGGGCUCAACCCCGGAACUGCCCUCGAAACUAGAUAGCUAGAAUCUUGGAGAGGCGAGUGGAAUUCCGAGUGUAGAGGUGAAAUUCGUAGAUAUUCGGAAGAACACCAGUGGCGAAGGCGACUCGCUGGACAAGUAUUGACGUUGAGGUGCGAAAGCGUGGGGAGCAAACAGG